This 71-nucleotide transfer RNA is filed under the name Hanseniaspora uvarum. It matches the Rfam family "tRNA". From Rfam's summary of the family: Transfer RNA (tRNA) molecules are approximately 80 nucleotides in length. Their secondary structure includes four short double-helical elements and three loops (D, anti-codon, and T loops). The record is from Rfam by way of RNAcentral. Lineage: Eukaryota; Fungi; Ascomycota; Saccharomycetes; Saccharomycodales; Saccharomycodaceae.
GUCUUGAUAACCUAAUGGUAAGGUCAUACUCUUCUAAAGUAUAUAUGAUUGUUCGAAUCAAUCUCAAGAUA